GAACUGCAUCUUUCCCGGAGGGCAGCGCCGGCUAGCCACGGAGUCCCAGGGCGGAGUACCCCCUAUGCCCUGCAGUCCGAACAAUCGAUUCCGACUCAUCGGACGUCUCACGUCGAUUUACCAUCUCUAGCACAAAUCAAAACAAAACAAAAUUAUGUUUACAUUAAGCAACUAAGACAAUUCGACGAAAUUGGUGGCUUCGAUGUCCUUGCCACGACGCACCCACCCAACCUUGGGUGCCCCAAGAGAGAUGUGGGAGGCACACCCCAUCUCCGGCAGACCGGAGUCUAUUCCUGGUGGAUUAGGAUUGGCUCAUCUCCCCGCCCAAGAAACUUUAAGGCCGAUCUCAGACCGUCGCCCAGAUGAGAAGCGGUCAAAGCGGAAACAACCGAAAGGGAAAUUUUUAGACGCUCAAAGUUCCAAGUGUCAGGCAAAGUCGCCGCACGGCACUAAAUUUGGAGGCGUUUGCCAGCCGGGUCGCCUAAUCUUGAGGAGCUCCAAGGGAAAAGAAGGGACGUGCUAAUAAGGUAAGUACGCUAAACAAAUCCCACAAGUCAUUAAAUUUCGCGACCCAAUUUAGAUGUAGUUGGACGCGGGCUAGGGUUCGGGCUUGAGCCUCUAAAUUUAGAUUAGAUUUCACAAGUUCAACGUCGGAUGUGUUGAAACUGCAGCAGAAAAAAAAACGCUGACGGCGAAAAACCAGCGCGAGUCCGCACGGAGCCAGUUGGUCCGGAGGAUAGCGCAGCGUAGCCGGAGGCAGUGCGUCGGUGGACUUGGAGAUGACCACGUGGCCAGCGCGGGCAUUCGUUCCCGGAACGGACUCACCGAGGGAAUCUCCGUAUCUGGCCGUCUUGGCGGCAGUCGCUGUAGCUGCUGGCGCUUGAGGCUGCUGCUGCUGCUACUGAUCGCUGCCAAUGCGGCCAAUGCUGCUGCUGCUGCUGAUGCUGCUGCGGCCAAUGCUGCUGAGGCCAAUUCUGCGACGGCUGGUGGAUGACGACCAGGUUAGGUCCGCCUGGUAAGUUUUCACUGCCCAAAUCUUUAAAUUUCCGGGGCCCUUUAGUUAGGGUCCCCGGCGGCUUCAAUAUAAAAAAACACUGUAAUUUACAAGUUCCGGACUAAUAAAUAAACACUCACUUUGAGUUAUUUAAACACUAAUCACGAACUUAAAUUUUGGGUUUUUUUCUGACCGUUCUCCUACUACUUCUUGCAGCAACUAAAGCAAAACCCUGACCUACACCAAAGUCGCUCGCCAUGUUCCCUCCCGCUCUCUCAAGAUGGGUCAGCGAACGUAUUCAAGGCCAUCUAACCCAGUUAACGAGCGAACCGGGCUAAAUUUAAAUAGCUAGAUCCUCUCCCGCUAUCAAUAGUCGGUAUCACGACCAAAUCUUAUCGAUAGCGGAACCUGCU
Molecule: RNA transcript, 1407 nt
Organism: Drosophila elegans
Lineage: Eukaryota; Metazoa; Arthropoda; Insecta; Diptera; Drosophilidae
Exons: 3
Source: RefSeq, a predicted model, not a curated record